This 497-nucleotide ribosomal RNA is filed under the name uncultured bacterium. Its description in RNAcentral is "partial 16S ribosomal RNA". It matches the Rfam family "Bacterial small subunit ribosomal RNA", at positions 28 to 507 of the family's 1533-position model. The record is from RNAcentral.
GAUGAACGCUGGCGGCGUGCCUAAUACAUGCAAGUCGAGCGAACAGACGAGGAGCUUGCUCCUCUGACGUUAGCGGCGGACGGGUGAGUAACACGUGGAUAACCUACCUAUAAGACUGGGAUAACUUCGGGAAACCGGAGCUAAUACCGGAUAAUAUAUUGAACCGCAUGGUUCAAUAGUGAAAGACGGUUUUGCUGUCGCUUAUAGAUGGAUCCGCGCCGCAUUAGCUAGUUGGUAAGGUAACGGCUUACCAAGGCAACGAUGCGUAGCCAACCUGAGAGGGUGAUCGGCCACACUGGAACUGAGACACGGUCCAGACUCCUACGGGAGGCAGCAGUAGGGAAUCUUCCGCAAUGGGCGAAAGCCUGACGGAGCAACGCCGCGUGAGUGAUGAAGGUCUUCGGAUCGUAAAACUCUGUUAUUAGGGAAGAACAAAUGUGUAAGUAACUAUGCACGUCUUGACGGUACCUAAUCAGAAAGCCACGGCUAACUACGUG